RNAcentral lists this non-coding RNA (21 nucleotides) under Caenorhabditis elegans. The record is from RNAcentral. Lineage: Eukaryota; Metazoa; Nematoda; Chromadorea; Rhabditida; Rhabditidae.
UAGCACACCUGUCCUUUAUUU